This 549-nucleotide ribosomal RNA is filed under the name uncultured bacterium. Its description in RNAcentral is "partial 16S ribosomal RNA". It matches the Rfam family "Bacterial small subunit ribosomal RNA", at positions 355 to 895 of the family's 1533-position model. The record is from RNAcentral.
UGGGGAAUCUUCCGCAAUGGACGAAAGUCUGACGGAGCAACGCCGCGUGAGUGAAGAAGGUUUUCGGAUCGUAAAACUCUGUCUUUUGGGGCGAACGUGAGUAUGGUGAACAAUCAUAGUCAGUGACGGUACCAAAGGAGGAAGCCACGGCUAACUACGUGCCAGCAGCCGCGGUAAUACGUAGGUGGCAAGCGUUGUCCGGAAUUAUUGGGCGUAAAGAGCGCGUAGGCGGGAUAGUCAGUCUGUUGUAAAGUGCGGGGCUCAACCCCGUGAUGGCAAUGGAAACAGCUAUUCUUGAGUGCAGGAGAGGAAAGUGGAAUUCCCAGUGUAGCGGUGAAAUGCGUAGAUAUUGGGAGGAACACCAGUGGCGAAGGCGACUUUCUGGACUGUGUCUGACGCUGAGGCGCGAAAGCCAGGGGAGCGAACGGGAUUAGAUACCCCGGUAGUCCUGGCCGUAAACGAUGGGUACUAGGUGUGGGAGGUAUCGACCCCUUCCGUGCCGGAGUUAACGCAAUAAGUACCCCGCCUGGGGAGUACGGUCGCAAGAUU